AUAUAUGAAUUUAGAUUAUGUUAUUUAUGUUAUAUAUGUAAAUUUCUUGUUUUCCGUGUUUUAGUCUGGUAGCAGUGGAAAGCGACGUUGGGCCAUUAGAGAGUCACGUUUUACAUGGUUUGGAAUUUUAUUAUUAACGGGGCAUCAUUGUUAGACACGAGUAGUGUCGGGAAAUUUUUAGGGUUUGGAAUUUACCAAAUUACCCCUAGGUAGCACGUGAGCUUUGUUUUGUGUUAGGGGUAAAAUGGUCAUUCCUUUUAGAAUCCUUAUUUCGUCCUUUUGUGGACAUUAGUGAUAUGAUUUUGUUGGAAAUUAUUUUACCAGGAUCUUAGAUCUACUCACAAGUAUGAUGAUUAACACCAUAAAUAUGAACUUCUAAAACUAUUUAAAUAAACACAUAUAAAGUAUGAGAAAUCUUACAUUGGGUGCAGCAGAAUAAUAUGUCUCCUUCCACUCAGAUCUCUAACCCAGGCAUCCGAGCCUUCCUCCAAUCCCAGGAGGUAUAUAUAUACUAUUAUUUGAGGGAAACUUGUUGAGAAAAUUUCGAUUUGAUUAAUGGCUGAUCCAUCACCUAGGGCUCGGGCUGAUUAUGAUUAACUUAGUAAUCUUCUGUUGAUCGGCGACAGAGGUAUGUACUCCUUAUGUAUUAAUCUGUUUUAUUUUAUGCUAUUUUUACUAUCAAAUUUAGGGUCAAUUUCUGUUUCUAAAGAUUCUUCACUUUAUUUCUAAUCAAAAUAAAUAAUUGUU
Long non-coding RNA from Cannabis sativa, 747 nucleotides. RefSeq lists it as uncharacterized. Lineage: Eukaryota; Viridiplantae; Streptophyta; Magnoliopsida; Rosales; Cannabaceae. The transcript is spliced from 2 exons. The record is from RefSeq and is a predicted model, not a curated record.